GCUUGUUUAUCCUUUUCUUUGAAGAUGAAGGAAGACGCCGUGAUCCACAUACCAGACUACCAGAGAGACCGCCGGCGAAGCGACCAGAAUCUGAUCAGGUCCCGACCACGGAGCAGCCGGAGGCAAAGCGUACGAAGCUCGGCGAUCCUCAACCGGAAAAGCUCGCUGGUGAUACUCCAAUGGGUCUGCAGAGCGAUAGCAAAGAGGGAGACCAUCCGACUGGUACUGAUUAUCAUAAAGGCCUUUCGUAUUGUCUGAUCUGUUGUAAGAUGGUCGAUCACAUAAUUUUAGAAUGCCCCGACUGGUCAAAGGGAUCUGGGAUAUAUUGUGUUGUUUGUGAAGGCCCCUGUAAACUCUGUGAUGACGAGCACCACCGCAAAAAUCAUUUUGAAACUAUCAUGUUUUGUGAUAUUUGUGGUGAACAGGCUACACACUGGUCUGAUAACUGCUCCUAUGGUACUGAUUAUCGUACUGCCAGGUCUGCGGACGCUUUCGGUGACUCUGACAUUGGUUGCUUUGUAACGUGGGUGACCUUUCAGAGAUACACACAACUUAUGCCGGUUCAAUCCGCAGUUGCAUGAUCUCCAUUGAUGAUAGUUGUUUCAGAUCUUGAUCUCAGGGCACCAAUUUCUGAUUCUUACUCAGAAAAAAAGGAUGGAAAUUGUGACGCUCACGUUGACUCUUGCACUUUGUUGUGUUAACUUAGACCAAUUUUCUCAAGAUUUCCUAUUUCUAGACCCUUGAUAGAUGUUUUGAUCAUUCUUCAUGGGCAAGGUAUUUACCUUUCGAUGGUGUUUGAUUCGUAUUUGUUUUGAUAUGUUUCGGUGAGUAGUAACGUUUUCAUUU
Rosa rugosa (rugosa rose) is the source of this 846-nucleotide long non-coding RNA. RefSeq lists it as uncharacterized. The record is from RefSeq and is a predicted model, not a curated record. The transcript is spliced from 2 exons. NCBI's taxonomy places the organism in Eukaryota, Viridiplantae, Streptophyta, Magnoliopsida, Rosales, Rosaceae.